UCGAGAAUCUUCGGCAAUGGGCGAAAGCCUGACCGAGCGACGCCGCGUGUGGGAUGAAGGCCUUCGGGUUGUAAACCACUGUCGUAGAGGAGGAAAUUGGCCGGGGUUCUCCCCGGUCAUUGACCUAUUCUAGGAGGAAGGACGGGCUAAGUACGUGCCAGCAGCCGCGGUAAUACGUACCGUCCAAACGUUAUUCGGAAUUACUGGGCUUAAAGGGUAUGUAGGCGGCGCUGUUAGUCGGGUGUGAAAUCCCUCGGCUCAACCGAGGAAUUGCGCCCGAUACUGCAGUGCUUGAGGGAGACAGAGGUAAGCGGAACUGAUGGUGGAGCGGUGAAAUGCGUUGAUAUCAUCAGGAACACCGGUGGCGAAAGCGGCUUACUGGGUCUCUUCUGACGCUGAGAUACGAAAGCUAGGGGAGCGAAGGGGAUUAGAUACCCCCGUAGUCC
Molecule: ribosomal RNA, 446 nt
Filed under: uncultured bacterium
Lineage: Bacteria
Description: bacterial SSU rRNA
Rfam family: Bacterial small subunit ribosomal RNA
Source: RNAcentral